AGUGAACGCUGGCGGUAGGCCUAACACAUGCAAGUCGAACGGCAGCACAGUAAGAGCUUGCUCUUACGGGUGGCGAGUGGCGGACGGGUGAGGAAUACAUCGGAAUCUACUUUUUCGUGGGGGAUAACGUAGGGAAACUUACGCUAAUACCGCAUACGACCUACGGGUGAAAGCAGGGGAUCUUCGGACCUUGCGCGAUUGAAUGAGCCGAUGUCGGAUUAGCUAGUUGGCGGGGUAAAGGCCCACCAAGGCGACGAUCCGUAGCUGGUCUGAGAGGAUGACCAGCCACAGUGGAACUGAGAACCGGCCCAGCCCCCGCCGGGGGGCAGAAGGGGGGAAUAUUGGACAGGGGGCGCAGGCCUGAUCCACCCAUACCGGGGGGGGAAAGAAGGCCUUCGGUUUUUAAACCCUUUUUGUGGGGAAAAAAAAGAAGCAGGUUAAUCCCCCGUUGUUCGGACGUUCCCCAAGAAAUAACCCCCGCCAAAUUUGGGC
RNAcentral lists this ribosomal RNA (492 nucleotides) under uncultured bacterium. RNAcentral's name for it is "partial 16S ribosomal RNA". It matches the Rfam family "Bacterial small subunit ribosomal RNA", at positions 29 to 508 of the family's 1533-position model. The record is from RNAcentral.